RNAcentral lists this transfer RNA (77 nucleotides) under Devosia soli. RNAcentral describes it as "tRNA-Arg". It matches the Rfam family "tRNA". From Rfam's summary of the family: Transfer RNA (tRNA) molecules are approximately 80 nucleotides in length. Lineage: Bacteria; Pseudomonadati; Pseudomonadota; Alphaproteobacteria; Hyphomicrobiales; Devosiaceae. RNAcentral also lists the same sequence under 18 other names. The record is from RNAcentral.
GGUCUCGUAGCUCAGCAGGAUAGAGCACCGGAUUCCUAAUCCGGGGGUCAUGGGUUCGAAUCCCGUCGAGAUCACCA